RNAcentral lists this small nuclear RNA (101 nucleotides) under Jaculus jaculus (lesser Egyptian jerboa). The record is from RNAcentral. Lineage: Eukaryota; Metazoa; Chordata; Mammalia; Rodentia; Dipodidae.
ACGCAAUUAGCCUGGGUACUCAAAUUGGAAUGAUACAGAAAAGAUUAGCAUGGCUCCUGCACAAGGAUGACACGCAAAUUCGUGAAGUGUUCCCAAAAAAA